CCCCACCUCACAUAUGCAGAGAUAAAAUAGUUCAGGUUUCUGCAUUAAUAUAGUCCCAAGACACCAAAUAGUUAGAAACUGUAAAAGUACGUAUGAUGGCAGCUGUGAAUGUGAUCAAGCUGACGUUGAUUCUUCUCACUGUAUUGAUAGUACAACCAUGCAUGCAAUAAGUGUCAACUGCAUGUGCUGUUGAAGAAGAUGGCCUUACAUGUCUGACUAGAAUGAUACCAAUCAGUAAUGAUACAUUCAGGAGAUGUGGAACUCUCACAUUAGAUUCAAAUCAAACAACUUUCUGCCACAAUGAUACAUGUCGAGACUAUUUCUCACAAGCCUACGAAACGUGUGUGGCCUAUAUGCAAUCCAGUUCAGUUGGAUAAGUUGCUAACCAUGCAUGCAUGAAUAAUUAUGACGCCCUCAUACUAUUUGUACAGCUUGCAAAGAAUCCGCAAUUGAAAACAAAAACUACAGCACCACACUUGAUUUAGAAUGUUUGUUUGUGGAAGCUGCUGGAGUGGGUUUGGGGGCAUGUCAGUCUAAAUUAAUAGAGGAAGGUCUUACAGCGUACUGUCUGGAUGAGAACUGCUCUUUUGUUGAGGAAGCCUACAAUAAGUGCGGAUUUGAUUGGCAUAGCUGUAAUCCUGUUCGAGAAACUUGCAAUAAGCAUUUCAGAUCUGUGCUGCCAGAAAUGCAACAGUGGAGGAAAACCAACUUCAUCAAUGGCUAGUAUUAUAUGAUUCUGAUAAUGGGUUCUGUGCUCAUGAUUAUUUGAGUAACACAUGCUCAAACUUUGAAGGAUCAGUCGUCACACUAUUCAACUUGUGUAUCAUGUGUUUUUGUAGAAUGAGAAUAGAACUUGAAUGUCUUUCUACAUUAUACAAACAACCACCAUGCAUGUUGGUUUACUUGUGAA
Halichondria panicea is the source of this 910-nucleotide long non-coding RNA. RefSeq lists it as uncharacterized. The record is from RefSeq and is a predicted model, not a curated record. The transcript is spliced from 5 exons. Lineage: Eukaryota; Metazoa; Porifera; Demospongiae; Suberitida; Halichondriidae.